ACAACUAAUUUUUUGCAUCUUAAAAUCAGAACUACUACAUAAUCAAUAUUUAAACUAACACACUCAACAGCUUCAGUAGAAUAUUAUAGUCAUUCGAAUCAUCUAUUAAAUACAAUAUCAUGCACUGAAUUUUUUCAAAACACCUAAACUAACAUCUAGAAGAGGUAAACAACCUCAAGUUAAUUAAUAGAACUCACAUGUCUUACUUCUGAACACGAUCUCACAUUAAAACUGAUAGUACUAAAAGCAUGGCUAAAUGUAUCUAACAACAUUCUUAUUAGCGCAUAACUCAAGCCAUACUAGACCAAAUUACUCAUCAGCUUUACAAAUGCUUUAAUAUUAAGUUAAUGAACACACAACCAUACAACAAGACAACAUAAACACAGAACCAAAUAAUUUAACAUAUGCUGUCAUAAAACAUGGUAUCCUCAGCAUGUUCGUUCCCAUUUCAAGAUGUCAUUUGAAAUCGAAUGUGAACCUAGUUACAACAAAGACAACCACGAGAAUUUGAGAAUCAACUUAAAACAAAACCAAGCCAUCAAUUAUAGCAGCAAAGAUCAACAGUAAAACUGAAUCAAACAGCUUCCAAAAAAUCCAGCAAUUUCAUCUCUUUAAACCAUUUUUUCACCCAGAUAAAGCAAAAGUUCUUUGAAGCUUUUAAUUUCCAGUUGAAACUCAAGAUCAGUGAGCAAAAUCAGAACCAAUUUCCACCCCAAAUGAUACAGAAAUCUCAAUGUGUUUUCAGAAUAACUUCUCUCAGCCGUUCUGCUUUUCAUUAUCUUUUAAUCUCAAAAUGGUUUGCCUUGUGUAUGAAGAAACAAUCCUUUUAUACGGGGCCUUUAGGGCAGCAAAGAAUAAGCUAGUUUAUUGUCCUUAGGUCCUUUUCCAAUCUUCAUUUUUGCUAUUGUACCCAAGUUGAAAUCAAUUUUUCGAAGUUAGUCCCAAACCCCUCUUCCUAAAAGCUUCCUAAGUUAGUUAUGCAAGAUUCCCUAAGCUAAACUACCUAAAAUGCCCUUUAAACCCUUACUUUUUUACUUUCAAGAAAUCACUCCUACGUCAAGUUAAACCAGGACCAACCUAACCCAUGGGCUUAUGUACUAGCAGCCCUGAUUGAAUCUCAAACCAUCAAGGAAUGGACUCAAAUGGAAAUUCCAGCAAGACAAACCCUGAAUUAACACAACGGAUUUAAAAAAUGGCACUUGGAAACAAUUGUUUGUAAACAAAUACACUUAUCUAAUUGGGACUAUUAUUGAUUGAAAGAGGCAGUCAAUAAGCAAUUAAAUUAAAUAUACUAUUAUGCUAACUAUUAAACACAAACUAAACCUUAAAAAAACUGGAGACCGAAUGACCUAAUGGUAAAUUUAUGACUCCAAACUUAAAAUAACUGACUAAACCUAACACUAAUUACUCGUUUCAUUUUUCAAUCAAAAUAAAAAUAGAAAGAGUAGAAGGAGAUGACGAAAGAGGAUAGUGAGAAAAUAGAAGAAAGGAAAAAGGAAAUGAGUACCUAACUAUGGUUGUCCGGUUGUUCGGCUAGACCCGUCUUCUUCGAUUUCAAUCCAAAAAGAGGUGUCAAAUGAAUGUUCCCCUUUGAGAACAGACAAGGGACACUUUUUUCUGCUCAAAUCGUUUUAGAAACCUAUGCACGCCCGCCUAGAUGUGAUCUUUGUGAGGUUUGAGGAGGACUUGAUGGGAUUGACUUCAGGUUUUUGGGAAGAGCAAGAAAUGGUGAGUGUUUGGGUCUGAUUUGGUUGAAUUAGGGUUUGAACUCUAAUUUUUAGAUUUAAGAUUCGACGAGAUCGAGGGGGAUUCGAGGGGAACUACAUUGAGAUUUGGAAAAAGAAGGAUGAGAGGGUUCUGGUGUGUUAAUUUGGGGUGGAUUGGGGUAGUUUAUGGCAUCAACAGUGGCGGAGAUGAUGGAGGUUGGGGGGAGGGCUCUAGGUUUCCUAGGCUAGAGACGAUGAGGAUUUU
Molecule: long non-coding RNA, 1971 nt
Filed under: Nicotiana benthamiana
Lineage: Eukaryota; Viridiplantae; Streptophyta; Magnoliopsida; Solanales; Solanaceae
Description: long non-coding RNA (NBEN_LNC008379)
Source: RNAcentral